Molecule: non-coding RNA, 45 nt
Organism: Schistosoma haematobium
Lineage: Eukaryota; Metazoa; Platyhelminthes; Trematoda; Strigeidida; Schistosomatidae
Source: Rfam
ACCUUGCUGACGAGUACCAAAUAGCACGAAACCUUAGUCCAGGGU